This is a non-coding RNA of Cricetulus griseus (Chinese hamster), 1899 nucleotides long. The record is from RefSeq and is a predicted model, not a curated record. NCBI's taxonomy places the organism in Eukaryota, Metazoa, Chordata, Mammalia, Rodentia, Cricetidae.
CUGCUUUCUGAGUGCUGGGAUUAAAGGCAUGCAGUGUACCACCACUACUCAGCUGACCUUUUUUUUUUUUAAUUUUAUUUUAUUGGUUGUGUGUGCAUGGAAACCAGAAUAACUUUGUGGAGUCAGUUCUGUCCUUCCAUCUUUACUUGGGUUCUGGGAUCAAACCCAGCUUGUCAGACUUGUGCAUCCUGGGCUUUUACCUGGUCCUAGUUGGCGUUUCUUUAAUCUAUAGUCCUUCCUUCUACUUUUUUUUUUCUUGCAAUUUAUCUAUUUGAACAUCUUUUGUUGUUGCAGUUUUCUACACUCUGGAUUUUGUUGAUCACAUCCCUGGGGUGUUUUUAAUCCUGUUCUCUCUCCUACAUUUCUGUAAACUAGUAGUAGAUCAGAUUCGGAUUCAACUGUUUAUGAAGAAUGCCUGGUAGAUGCACUGUGCACUUCUCCUCUCCCCUCUGAAGUGUGAUUGUGUCCAUCGUCCUCUGCACAGUUGUCCCACUUUUUGUGGGUUCAGACUGAUUGAUGGGGUAGUUAGCCUGAUUACAACCUAUUACAGAGGUUCUGCAGCGUCCGUUUACCUAAUGUUCUCAGCAGUCCCUGAUGGUCAUUGCCUUGUGCAUUAUUUCAUUAGGAGUUUCCUCGUCCCCAUUAGCAUCCCCGGCCUCUCUUCUUUGCAUCUGCUUUUCCCACACUGUCCUUAACCCGUACCAUCAUUUCUUUGCCUCAUCAACCCAAGAUGCCCUAACAGCACUUCAGGCCUGGAAGACUCCAUCUGCUUCCCUGGUGGCCUGCACUUCCCUGAGGGGAGGGUCCUGACUUGGAUCUGUUCUCACUGAGGCAGCUCUCUGAAUCCUGCUAGGGCCAUGCCUGACCCACACUGGGGAGUGCAAGCAGCCCAGGCUGUUCCUCCUCCUGAGAGUUCUGCAGAGAGCUGGCUUUAUUCCCCCUUCCCAUGACUUUCUCAGGAGCCCUCUUCUGUACUGGGGAGAGUCUUCCAUACUGUUUCCUCAGCUUCCUGCCCAAGCCUGGGCCCUGGCAGGGAUCCAAGCCUGGCUUCCUGUUUACAGGCAGAGAGAGAGGUGAGGGGGGCAUGGGAAGGGCAACUCCAGCACUCAUGUCCCUUUUUCUCUCCUGCCAAGUUUAGACACCUAUGAGGGCCAGCGCAGUUACCAUCCUCUGGUACUUUGGCAUCCCUGUGCCUCUCAUGAUCACCACUCCUGUUGGAUUCUUCGGCUCAGAGGAGAGACUAUGGAUACCGUGCUCUGUGUAUUCAUGCGCCCCAGACAGAAAAAGCAAAUGCACCACUUUCUCCAUGGGGCAGCUGAGCAGGAAGCACAGAGCUGAGAGCUGCUGCUUGCAGACCCUGGCCUACCUACACAAGUCCAACCCAACAGAGCUUCUGGGUGGAGCAGGAAGCCUUCGAGGUGUAAGGGGCCAGGGGCUAAUUAUGAGAGCCAGAAGACAUCAGAGCCUCUGGCUGUGAGGAGACAGGCGUUUCUUUGGAAAUGAGAAACUCAACAUUGAACAGCUAUAUUCCUGCCUCUUGACUCCCUGCUGGCAGGUUUCUGCAGCUUCACCUUCAGCAGCAAAGAGAGGCGAGGAGGAGAGUUUAGUCUCACGUCCCCUCAGCUCCAGCCAUGUUCUUGGAUGUUCCCCCUCCUGCUGGUGUUUCCAGUGCAGCCUUUUUAUGUGGCAAAGUAGUGAAGGAACAGAAAACGUAAUUAGUCCUGGCUCGGGCACUACAUGGCAACUACUCAGCCUGAUUUUUUUUUCUCUGCAAAAUUGGAAUAAAUAAUUAACACUACAUCUGUGUCUUAUGAUUGUCAGAGAUUACAUGAGAAAAUGAGGGGAAAGCUUUGAAAACAUAAGUUGCAAUAAAAACAUAAAUGCCUCUAUUUUUCUGAA